RNAcentral lists this ribosomal RNA (465 nucleotides) under uncultured bacterium. Its description in RNAcentral is "partial 16S ribosomal RNA". It matches the Rfam family "Bacterial small subunit ribosomal RNA", at positions 28 to 507 of the family's 1533-position model. The record is from RNAcentral.
GAUGAACGCUGGCGGCGUGCUUAACACAUGCAAGUCGAACGAUGAAGCCCAGCUUGCUGGGUGGAUUAGUGGCAAACGGGUGAGUAACACGUAAGUAACCGGCCCUUGACUCUGGGAUAAGCCUGGGAAACGGGGUCUAAUACUGGAUAUGACUUUCAUCCCAUGGUGGGGGGUGGAAGGUUUUUUUGGUUUUGGAUGGACUGCCGGCCUAUCCGUUUGUUGGUGAGGUAAUGGCUCACCAAGGCGACGACGGGUAGCCGGCCUGAGAGGGUGACCGGCCACACUGGGACUGAGACACGGCCCAGACUCCUACGGGAGGCAGCAGUGGGGAAUAUUGCACAAUGGGCGCAAGCCUGAUGCAGCGACGCCGCGUGAGGGAUGACGGCCUUCGGGUUGUAAACCUCUUUCAGUAGGGAAGAAGCGAGAGUGACGGUACCUGCAGAAGAAGCGCCGGCUAACUACGUG